Molecule: non-coding RNA, 46 nt
Organism: Picea glauca (white spruce)
Lineage: Eukaryota; Viridiplantae; Streptophyta; Pinopsida; Pinales; Pinaceae
Source: Rfam
AUAAUGGUGUCUUUAGACACCAUCUGUAUCUUCAAAGUGUUUGUUU